AGCAGCCGCGGUAAUUCCAGCUCCAAUAGCGUAUAUUAAAGUUGUUGCAGUUAAAAAGCUCGUAGUUGAAUUUCGGGGUUCUACCGUUGGUCGGGCUUUGUCUGUACUGGCGUGUAGAAUUUCUACCUUCUGGGGAACUAUCAUGUUAUUAAUUUAGCGUAGUAGGAAACCAGGACCUUUACCUUGAAAAAAUUAGAGUGUUCAAAGCAGGCUUAUGUCUGAAUACAUUAGCAUGGAAUAAUAAAAUAGGACGGUGGUCCUGUUUUGUUGGUUUCUGAAUCACCGUAAUGAUUAAUAGGGAUAGUUGGGGGCAUUAGCAUUCAAUUGUCAGAGGUGAAAUUCUUGGAUUUAUUGAAGACUAACUACUGCGAAAGCAUUUGCCAAGGAUGUUUUCAUUAAUCAAGAACGAAAGUUAGGGGAUCGAAGACGAUCAGAUACCGUCGUAGUCUUAACCAUAAACUAUGCCGACUAGGGAUCGGACGAUGUUAACU
RNAcentral lists this ribosomal RNA (491 nucleotides) under uncultured Scutellospora. Its description in RNAcentral is "SSU rRNA". It matches the Rfam family "Eukaryotic small subunit ribosomal RNA", at positions 569 to 1068 of the family's 1831-position model. The record is from RNAcentral. Lineage: Eukaryota; Fungi; Glomeromycota; Glomeromycetes; Diversisporales; Gigasporaceae.